This is a long non-coding RNA of Venturia canescens, 937 nucleotides long. RefSeq lists it as uncharacterized. The transcript is spliced from 2 exons. The record is from RefSeq and is a predicted model, not a curated record. NCBI's taxonomy places the organism in Eukaryota, Metazoa, Arthropoda, Insecta, Hymenoptera, Ichneumonidae.
AGGCUUUGGAUAGCGGGAAUGACGAGAACGGUGGAGACACGAUACUUGAUCCAGACGACGGCUCUGAUUUACUUCGUAUCGUUGAUGAGGAUGAAGAAGAGGAGGAUCUAAAUCUGCUAUAAGAUUCAAUACAUCAUAGAAAUUUGAACCAGUAUAUCCAAGAUUUCCUAACAAAUUUCUUGUCGCAGAACUGCUUCCAAGCUUUCGUUGAGCAUCUGACACCACCGGUUCUCACGAAUUUGAAUAUAAACGCGAGUUAUGCGUGAAAGAGUAAUGAUAAGAAAUGAAAUAUAAAUUAGUGAGUUUUUGCUCGGGCGGAAAUGACCCAGCGAAAAAUGGUUCAAAGAAUCGUUUAUUUACACUAGAGAACUGCUGAUUCCAUAUUUUUCAUCAUUUUUACAGAUCACAAAGCAGACCGCCAUGGAGCAAGUGUCGGUCGUGAUUUCCGUACAAGAAUAAGCACCCGUGACUCCUUUACCGCUCCAGAUUUGCCGGAUGCCUUAAACAGUAUUUUCCUUGUCCUCGCGAACAUCCAGGAACCACCGAUUGAACAGUCCACGGUCUCCGACGCCACGUAAACAUCGACAUAAAUACAAAUUCUAAAAAAAAAGAGUUAUAAAAAACGGAAAAAAGUCAAAAAAAGACUUCAACUCGUGAAAGUUGAAAAAAACUUGAUCUCAUCCGCUUUUUUUGUCUACAUAAGAUUUCGACCGAAAUCGUUGUUCGGUAACAGGACAAUCUAUAAAUCUAUAUACUGAGCUUAGUUAAUCAAUUUUUAUCAGAUAAUGCGCUUUUUUCAAUCUUCUUGAUAAUUUUUUUCUGUAACGACUCAAUGACCGAUUAUAUUUAUUGGUAAAUAAAUUCCAGCUAGGCGUAAGCAUCUAUGUCGACAAUUUCUAUGAAAAAUCAAAUAAAACCUUUCAAAUAUUCAUGAGAA